UGAGGAAUAUUGGUCAAUGGGCGGAAGCCUGAACCAGCCAAGUAGCGUGCAGGAUGACGGCCCUAUGGGUUGUAAACUGCUUUUACAGGGGAAUAAAAAGGAACACGUGUGUUCUGUUGCAUGUACCCUGGGAAUAAGGACCGGCUAAUUCCGUGCCAGCAGCCGCGGUAAUACGGAAGGUCCUGGUGUUAUCCGGAUUUAUUGGGUUUAAAGGGAGCGUAGGCCGUAGAUUAAGUGUGUUGUGAAAUGUAGGCGCCCAACGUCUGCCUUGCAGCGCAAACUGGUUUACUUGAGUACGCGCAACGCAGGCGGAAUUCGUCGUGUAGCGGUGAAAUGCUUAGAUAUGACGAAGAACUCCUAUUGCGAAGGCAGCUUGCGGGAGCGUUACUGACGCUGAAGCUCGAAAGUGCGGGUAUCGAACAGGAUUAGAUACCCUGGUAGUCCGCACGGUAAACGAUGGAUGCCCGUUUUUGGCUUAUUUUAGCCAGAGACCAAGCGAAAGCAUUAAGCAUCCCACCUGGGGAGUACGCCGGCAACGGUG
This 541-nucleotide ribosomal RNA is filed under the name uncultured bacterium. Its description in RNAcentral is "bacterial SSU rRNA". It matches the Rfam family "Bacterial small subunit ribosomal RNA", at positions 355 to 896 of the family's 1533-position model. The record is from RNAcentral.